Molecule: small nucleolar RNA, 77 nt
Filed under: Pelusios castaneus (West African mud turtle)
Lineage: Eukaryota; Metazoa; Chordata; Testudines; Pelomedusidae
Description: Small nucleolar RNA SNORD53/SNORD92 (ENSPCEG00000006216.1)
Rfam family: Small nucleolar RNA SNORD53/SNORD92
About the family: U53 is a member of the C/D class of snoRNA which contain the C (UGAUGA) and D (CUGA) box motifs. Most of the members of the box C/D family function in directing site-specific 2'-O-methylation of substrate RNAs. The human orthologue HBII-316 (SNORD92) is predicted to guide the 2'O-ribose methylation of 28S rRNA A3846.
Source: Rfam by way of RNAcentral
UUGCUGUGAUGACUUUGUCUUGGUUUCACUUAUUGCUGAAUUCCAUGAAGAUUCAUUUCUCUUGGCUGUCUGAGCAU